This 497-nucleotide ribosomal RNA is filed under the name uncultured bacterium. Its description in RNAcentral is "partial 16S ribosomal RNA". It matches the Rfam family "Bacterial small subunit ribosomal RNA", at positions 28 to 507 of the family's 1533-position model. The record is from RNAcentral.
GAUGAACGCUGGCGGCGUGCCUAACACAUGCAAGUCGAGCGAACAGACGAGGAGCUUGUUCCUCUGACGUUAGCGGCGGACGGGUGAGUAACACGUGUAUCACCUACUUAUAAUACGGGGAUAAUUACGGGAAACCGGAGAUAAUACCGUAUAAUAUAUUGAACCGCAUGGUUCAAUAGAGAAAUACGGCUUUGCUGGCACGUAUAGAUGGAUCCGCGCCUGAUUGGCUGGUUGGUAAGGUAACGGCUUAUCACGGCGACGAUGCGUGGCCGAGCUGAGGGAGGGAUCGGCCACACUGGAGCGGGGACGCGGUCCAGGCUCCUGCGGGAGGCCGCAGUCGGGAAUGGUCGGCAGUGGGCGAGAGCCUGACGGAGCGGGGCCGAGUGAGUGACGAAGGUCUUCGGAUCGUAAAGCUCUGUUAUUGGUGAAGAACAGCUGUGGAAGUAACUGUACACGUCUUGACGGUACCGAGUCAAGAAGCACCGGCUAACUACGUG